UACGGAGGGUGCAAGCGUUACUCGGAAUCACUGGGCGUAAAGAGCGCGUAGGCGGGAUGGCAAGUCAGAUGUGAAAUCCAGGGGCUCAACCCCUGAACUGCAUUUGAAACUGUCGUUCUUGAGUACUGGAGAGGUUGACGGAAUUCCUAGUGUAGCGGUGAAAUGCGUAGAUAUUAGGAGGAACACCAGUGGCGAAGGCGGUCAACUGGACAGCAACUGACGCUGAGGCGCGAAAGCGUGGGGAGCAAACAGG
RNAcentral lists this ribosomal RNA (253 nucleotides) under uncultured Oscillospiraceae bacterium. RNAcentral describes it as "partial 16S ribosomal RNA". It matches the Rfam family "Bacterial small subunit ribosomal RNA", at positions 524 to 776 of the family's 1533-position model. Lineage: Bacteria; Bacillati; Bacillota; Clostridia; Eubacteriales; Oscillospiraceae. The record is from RNAcentral.